CCUAGGUUAGCUCCCCUAUUUUCCACUCAUUCACCCAGGCUGACUCCUUCCCUCGCAGGUCGCCUAGGGAACUUCGACUCAGACAGCUCCUCCCCUGCUCAGUCAGUAACAGGAGGAAAAUAGGUCUCUUGUAAGAACUUUAAGGAACAAGGUGACGAGGGGAGGAAAAGGAAUCGUCCACUGGUUGCGGAAAGUUAAACUACUGUCCAAGAAUAACGAUGUGGAUUAUGUGGAAGGAAGAUGAAAAUGAGGAGAUCUAGUACCACUAAGGAUAGCUACAGAGAGAUUUGCCGGGAGCAGCUGCAGUCUGUGUCGAGUUACUGAAAAGAUUGGAGAGGAGGACAGGAAGAAGGAUUGGUUGGAGAAAUGACUGUCAUAUUAUAUGAAAGCAAAUUCUGGCAUAAAAAAGUAUGCACAGGGACACUUCGGGAGCAAAUUGGAGAAGACGUGAUUGGGUCUUUGGAAUGUUGUAAGUAAACGGUAGGAGCAGAAGGCCUGUCUUAAAGUGUGUCCGAUAAAGAAGUGCACCAAACCUUAUGCCAAUCAUCAGAAGUCAUGUCAGACCAGCCAGCGCAAUUCUCAUUGACUCACGGCCUGCCUACAGAAGCAUUCAGCAUGAAGGUUAACCACAGUAGGUUCAUUAUGCAUCCAAGAACUGGUGAUUUGUUAUAUUUAUUAUUGUUUCUUGGGUUAGUUAGUUGUUUCCUUCUUUUGCAAAUUUUACAAGUAAGCUUAGAUCUUAAAUCCAUUGCAGUUAUAAAUAAUUUACGUAUUAUUCAGUUCAU
Long non-coding RNA from Astyanax mexicanus (Mexican tetra), 785 nucleotides. RefSeq lists it as uncharacterized. The transcript is spliced from 3 exons. The record is from RefSeq and is a predicted model, not a curated record. NCBI's taxonomy places the organism in Eukaryota, Metazoa, Chordata, Actinopteri, Characiformes, Acestrorhamphidae.